ACGGGAGGCAGCAGUGGGGAAUAUUGCACAAUGGGGGAAACCCUGAUGCAGCGACGCCGCGGGAGUGAAGAAGUAUCUCGGUAUGUAAAGCUCUAUCAGCAGGGAAGAAAAUGACGGUACCUGACUAAGAAGCCCCGGCUAACUACGUGCCAGCAGCCGCGGUAAUACGCAGGGGGCAAGCGUUAUCCGGAUUUACUGGGUGUAAAGGGAGCGUAGACGGCGAUGCAAGUCUGAAGUGAAAGGCGGGGGCUCAACCCUUGGACUGCUUUGGAAACUGUAUUGCUAGAGUGCAGGAGAGGUAAGUGGAAUUCCUAGUGUAGCGGUGAAAUGCGUAGAUAUUAGGAGGAACACCAGUGGCGAAGGCGGCUUACUGGACUGUAACUGACGUUGAGGCUCGAAAGCGUGGGGAGCAAACAGGAUUAGAUACCCUGGUA
This 434-nucleotide ribosomal RNA is filed under the name uncultured Lachnospiraceae bacterium. RNAcentral describes it as "partial 16S ribosomal RNA". It matches the Rfam family "Bacterial small subunit ribosomal RNA", at positions 341 to 792 of the family's 1533-position model. The record is from RNAcentral. Lineage: Bacteria; Bacillati; Bacillota; Clostridia; Lachnospirales; Lachnospiraceae.